Molecule: long non-coding RNA, 468 nt
Organism: Cercocebus atys (sooty mangabey)
Lineage: Eukaryota; Metazoa; Chordata; Mammalia; Primates; Cercopithecidae
Exons: 2
Source: RefSeq, a predicted model, not a curated record
CCUUUCUGUAAAUGCAUAAUGUCUCCAGAAGCUUUCAGCUAAAAUACCAAUGUGUUAUUUUGGAGAGAGAAUGCGUGAACUCUGAGCACUCCAAAUUGCCUAAGCAUGAACCAGUUUAUCAAGUUAUUUAAGUUGAGAGAAAGGUCCUCAAGAAAGGAAUUACAAAAUUGUGCUCUUUAUGGGACAUCAUGAGAAGGCACAGGGAAGUUAUGGAGGUAACAGUAGUGGAAGGAAGAAAAACCUGAAGAUACUUGGGAAGGCGUGCCCGGGAGCAAGGCAAGGGUCACAAUCACAUUCACAGAACCUCAUUAGGGUGGAUCCACAGGACAAACUUCCCACUGCUCACAGAAGCACUACCACCCCUUGGAAUAAUCAAUCAAUCAAACCAACUCAACAAUCUUCCUUUUAAUGCUAGUGGCACAUAUUGAUAUAAAAAUAAAAUUUUGCUUUCUGGUGGGACAUGAAUAA